CCGCGGUAUUUUGACCGUGCUAAGGUAGCAUAAUCAGUAGUUUUUUAAUUGAAAGCUGGAAUGAAGGGUUGGAUAAGAAAAUGACUGUUUCUAUUUUAUUUAAUUAGAACUUUAUUUUUAAGUUAAAAAGCUUAAAUUUUUUUAAAAGACGAGAAGACCCUAUAGAGUUUAAUAAUUUUAAAUGUUUUUAGGUUAAGAAUUUACUUUUUAAAUUUUUAAAAUUAUUUAAUUGGGGUGAUUAAAAAAUUAAUAUAACUUUUUUUGUAUAUUUACAUUAUUAUUUGAGUAUUUGAUCCAUAUUUUGUGAUUAUAAGAUUAAAUUACCUUAGGGAUAACAGCGUUAUUUUUUUUAAGAGUU
RNAcentral lists this ribosomal RNA (358 nucleotides) under Gastrophysa polygoni. RNAcentral describes it as "partial 16S ribosomal RNA". The record is from RNAcentral. Lineage: Eukaryota; Metazoa; Arthropoda; Insecta; Coleoptera; Chrysomelidae.